GACGAACGCUGGCGGCGUGCUUAACACAUGCAAGUCGAACGGAAAGGCCCUGCGUUUGUGGGGUGCUCGAUUGGCGAACGGGUGAGUAACACGUGAGUAACCUGCCCUUGACUUUGGGAUAACUUCAGGAAACUGGGGCUAAUACCGGAUAGGAGCUCCUGCUGCAUGGUGGGGGUUGGAAAGUUUCGGCGGUUGGGGAUGGACUCGCGGCUUAUCAGCUUGUUGGUGGGGUAGUGGCUGACCAAGGCUUUGACGGGUAGCCGGCCUGAGAGGGUGAACGGCCACAUUGGGACUGAGAUACGGACCAGACUCCUACGGGAGGCAGCAGUGGGGAAUAUUGCACAAUGGGCGGACGCCUGAUGCAGCAACGCCGCGUGCGGGAUGACGGCCUUCGGGUUGUAAACCGCUUUCGCCUGUGACGAAGCGUGAGUGACGGUAAUGGGUAAAGAAGCACCGGCUAACUACGUG
RNAcentral lists this ribosomal RNA (468 nucleotides) under uncultured bacterium. Its description in RNAcentral is "partial 16S ribosomal RNA". It matches the Rfam family "Bacterial small subunit ribosomal RNA", at positions 28 to 507 of the family's 1533-position model. The record is from RNAcentral.